This 103-nucleotide small nuclear RNA is filed under the name Pogona vitticeps (central bearded dragon). RNAcentral's name for it is "U1 spliceosomal RNA (ENSPVIG00000010506.1)". It matches the Rfam family "U1 spliceosomal RNA", at positions 16 to 119 of the family's 166-position model. From Rfam's summary of the family: U1 is a small nuclear RNA (snRNA) component of the spliceosome (involved in pre-mRNA splicing). The record is from RNAcentral. Lineage: Eukaryota; Metazoa; Chordata; Lepidosauria; Squamata; Agamidae.
CCAAGAUACCUUGAUCAUGAAGGAGGUUUUCCCAGGGUGAGGCUCAUCCAUUGCAUUCCGGGUGUGCUGACCCCUCCGAUUUCCCCAAACGUGGGAAACACAA